This 1233-nucleotide long non-coding RNA is filed under the name Monodelphis domestica (gray short-tailed opossum). Its description in RNAcentral is "lncRNA (ENSMODG00000040369.1)". Lineage: Eukaryota; Metazoa; Chordata; Mammalia; Didelphimorphia; Didelphidae. The record is from RNAcentral.
CUUGAGAUUUUUUUUAAUCACCCACAGGACCCAAUUUUCAAAGGCUGGGAAUUAGCAUGAAGGCAAAGGCAGACAUCGUUGGCAUUCUUGCACGCCUGCAUUUUAGGGGGCAGAACAUGAAGGGAGGAGACCAAAGCAUUACCUCCUGCUUCAUGUCGAAGUAUUGAAAUGUCAAAUGUCAUCACUCUCCCCCUGCAUUUCCAUGUACUCACUGAAAGGUGGAACAAGAAUAGAAUGGGGAGCAGUCAAUCACCUGAUGGUUUAUUAUAGUAAUUUUUUGGGAGAUGCAGAUCACUUCUGAUUCCUUGAAGGAAGGCACGGCUAAAUCUGUAUUGAAAUGAGUGGAAUUCUUUUUUCCCCAUUUCCUUGGACUGGGCAGUCAUAGAAUGUCAGAGUUUACUCAUUUUACAGCCAGAAAAUCUGUUAUCCUUGAAGGAUGGAGGAAGAGUGAGGAGGUUCCAGGUGGACUGGUGUUAUCCAAAGAAGUCUGGUUUGUUAUUGAUAAAUUGUCUUACAGCUCAGCCCCAGCCAAAGGACCUGGUGAUGUAAGGGAUCCACCAAUGUAGCCUCCUCCAGGAAAGGAAGGCCUCUCCAGAAGCCAGGAAAGGAAGGCCAGCUACUCAUUCACCCAAGAUGAAGUCCAAAGGAGAAGAUCCAGGAAGUCCUUCAGGAAGCAGUCCAAGAGUCCACGUCCAAGCCAAAGGUCAAGUCCAAAACCACCUUGAAGAGACCCUUCCAGUCCCUUUCUCCAUUUUAUGGAAAACAAUUGCAGUCUUUCAAUAUGCUUAGCACUGCCCAGGGGGCGGUCAGUGGCCUCUGGAAUUGUCACCCGUUCUAGUAAGUGGCUUGAGAACUCCCUUACUUAAUGUUAAGUAAGGGUGUUUAAGUUUUUGAUUAAAUAAUUAUAAAAUUGCUGAUUGAUAGACAAAAAAAGUUUGAUUCACACUUCACAUUAUGAUGCUAUAAGCUUUUUAACCAAUCAUAUUGUUUCCCCCAUCUAUGAUGCUUUCUAUUUUGUUUGUGGUUUUUUUGAUGCUCUUCCUUUGGUCUGUAAAAAUGAUCAAUCUUCCCUCAUUCAGGAUCUUUUGGCUUGCUGGGGUGCUGAGGUUUGCUUUUUAUUAGAACUUGAACGUGCUUAGAACUUUGUGCCUCAGUUAUCUUAAUUUCAAUCAGAAAACUAAAAUAUGAUUAUGGUUACAACCAAUUUAAACAGAUUUGCUGUAGCAUUGUAUC